UACGGAGGGGGCAAGCGUUGUUCGGAAUUACUGGGCGUAAAGGGCGCGCAGGCGGCUGCUCAAGUCAGGCGUGAAAGGCCUGGGCUCAACCCGGGAAUUGCGCUUGAGACUGGGCUGGCUUGAGUGCGGGAGAGGAUGGUGGAAUUCCCAGUGUAGAGGUGAAAUUCGUAGAUAUUGGGAGGAACACCAGUGGCGAAGGCGGCUCACUGGACCGGUACUGACGCUGAUGCGCGAAAGCGUGGGGAGCAAACGGG
This 254-nucleotide ribosomal RNA is filed under the name uncultured bacterium. RNAcentral describes it as "partial 16S ribosomal RNA". It matches the Rfam family "Bacterial small subunit ribosomal RNA", at positions 524 to 776 of the family's 1533-position model. The record is from RNAcentral.